CCUACGGGAGGCUGCAGUAGGGAAUAUUGCUCAAUGGGGGAAACCCUGAAGCAGCAACGCCGCGUGGAGGAUGAAGGUUUUCGGAGUGGAAACUCCGUUUGGUAGAGAAGAUAAUGACGGUAUCUAACGAAUAAGCACCGGCUAACUCCGUGCCAGCAGCCGCGGUAAUACGGAGGGUGCAAGCGUUACUCGGAAUCACUGGACGUAAAGAGCGCGUAGGCGGGAUAGCAAGUCAGAGGUGAAAUCCUAUGGCUUAACCAUAGAACUGCAUUUGAAACUGUGAUUCUAGAGUAUUGGAGAGGUAGGUGGAAUUCUUGGUGUAGGGGUAAAAUCCGUAGAGAUCAAGAGGAAUACUCAUUGCGAAGGCGACCUGCUAGAACAUAACUGACGCUGAUGCGCGAAAGCGUGGGGAGCAAACAGGAUUAGAUACCCUUGUAGUC
RNAcentral lists this ribosomal RNA (440 nucleotides) under uncultured bacterium. RNAcentral's name for it is "partial 16S ribosomal RNA". It matches the Rfam family "Bacterial small subunit ribosomal RNA", at positions 338 to 795 of the family's 1533-position model. The record is from RNAcentral.